AAAGGGAGACCUAAUUCAGGUAGGAGACGAAAAAAAAGUAGUCCCUACCAAGAAUCAAUCCCAAAAGGUCGGAGCGAGGCAAAAUUGGCUUUCAAACUAGGUUCUGGGUUCACACAAGACCUGAAUCAGGAACAAGGGCUAUUAGCUCAGGUGGUUAGAGCGCACCCCUGAUAAGGGUGAGGUCCCUGGUUCGAGUCCAGGAUGGCCCACCUGUACAGGUGGCAAAAACAAAGAAAAGAAGCUCCGAAUCAGCACCUUAUCUUACUUAUAUAGUAAGAGAGAAUGCUGGCUCUGAGUACAGAGUCCAGAGGAACCUUGAAAACUGCAUAGAGCUAGGUGAAAAAGCCAUAAAAGAAGACCGCAAG
RNAcentral lists this transfer RNA (365 nucleotides) under uncultured Microcystis sp. Its description in RNAcentral is "partial 16S-23S ribosomal RNA intergenic spacer". The stretch from base 136 to 209 matches the Rfam family "tRNA". The record is from RNAcentral. Lineage: Bacteria; Bacillati; Cyanobacteriota; Cyanophyceae; Chroococcales; Microcystaceae.